GAGUCCCGCCAUACCAAACAAUAUACGUCUAAAUCAUACUAACCAAACAAACAACUCCGAAGCAAAUGGAGCGCACCAACAUCUUAUGCUGAGCUAAUAGCCUACUUGGAGGGCUUUCGACCUGUCUAUCGGAACCUGCGGGCAUGAAACGCAGCGUUCCCAGGCAAAAGGGACGUCAGUACAAAAUAAUGUAUUGAGUAUAUAAGGCAAUAUACUGAAUGCUGAAACUAAAAUGAUAAUAUAAUAACUGCAAGUAGCUGGAAGUCAAAGAUAAUCUAAAGAUAUGCUUACCUGCUGAUACUGACUCAACUAUAUCAAUAUAGUAGGUAAAAUAGUUGUCCGGCCCUAUAAGGCUCGGUAUAUAUAUAACUGCUCUGCCGUAGUAGGCUUGCUCAUAUGUGCUCGACCAUACUAGGCUUUGUAUCUCGACCAACUGGGCUCGCUCAUAGGCGCUCGACCACAGUAGGCUUGGUAAAUAACUUACCAUCUGAUUAGAGGUUGCCCAAUAGGAGCCUGACAUCGAUUAUAGCUCGAUGGUAAUGAAAACACUUUUAAUACUGUAUAUUUGUAAAUUCUAUGCUCUCUUGACUGAAAGAAGGAAAUACUCAACUGAAUAUGAAGUCCCGAUAAGGAGAAUAUUAUAGCUUACAAACUAGGAAAAUAUAUGCAAUCUGCGAGACUAGCAAAAUAUACGCAAAUUUCAAGAUAUGAAUUUUUCUUUAUGCCUCAUUAUCAAACUUGUAUAAUAACGAGAUCAUGCCAAAAUAAAGGAAGAACUUAGAAUUAACAUACCUGUAGUAUGGAAAAUACGUAAAGGUUGCACCGUACUCUAUUAGAAUCGUAAAAUCACGUGGCAUCUUCACUUGCAUUCUUGGACGUAUUAUUUUGCUUUUGGUUUAUAUAUAGCAUUCAACAGUAUGUUUAAUCUGAUGUGUCUUAUCCAUGGAAGAAUACAUAAUUCCUUCAAACUUGAUAGAGAAGACAAGUGACAAAAAGUCCUCAAAUAGGCAAAUUGGGGAAAUAACGUGAUAGCAUGGUUACUUUAAUAUUGUUAUGGAUUCAUUUUUGAUUGCAAGCUUCUAAGUUUGAUUUGGCUGAAUCCGUCACGUU
Molecule: long non-coding RNA, 1110 nt
Filed under: Nicotiana tabacum (common tobacco)
Lineage: Eukaryota; Viridiplantae; Streptophyta; Magnoliopsida; Solanales; Solanaceae
Description: long non-coding RNA (NTAB_LNC005942)
Source: RNAcentral